This 797-nucleotide ribosomal RNA is filed under the name Bacillus subtilis. RNAcentral's name for it is "bacterial SSU rRNA". It matches the Rfam family "Bacterial small subunit ribosomal RNA", at positions 26 to 801 of the family's 1533-position model. The record is from RNAcentral. Lineage: Bacteria; Bacillati; Bacillota; Bacilli; Caryophanales; Bacillaceae.
CGGGCGAUUGGGGCGGCGGUGGCCCUUAUACAUGCAAAGUCGAGCGGACAGAUGGGAGCUUGCUCCCUGAUGUUAGCGGCGGACGGGUGAGUAACACGUGGGUAACCUGCCUGUAAGACUGGGAUAACUCCGGGAAACCGGGGCUAAUACCGGAUGGUUGUUUCAACCGCAUGGUUCAAAUAUAAAAGGUGGCUUCGGCUACCACUUACAGAUGGACCCGCGGCGCAUUAACUAGUUGGUGAGGUAACGGCUCACCAAGGGAACGAUGCGUAGCCGACCUGAAAGGGUGAUCGGCCACACUGGGACUGAAACACGGCCCAAACUCCUACGGGAGGCAGCAGUAGGGAAUCUUCCGCAAUGGACGAAAGUCUGACGGAACAACGCCGCGUGAGUGAUGAAGGUUUUCGGAUCGUAAAACUCUGUUGUUAGGGAAGAACAAGUACCGUUCGAAUAGGGCGGUACCUUGACGGUACCUAACCAGAAAGCCACGGCUAACUACGUGCCAGCAGCCGCGGUAAUACGUAGGUGGCAAGCGUUGUCCGGAAUUAUUGGGCGUAAAGGGCUCGCAGGCGGUUUCUUAAGUCUGAUGUGAAAGCCCCCGGCUCAACCGGGGAAGGUCAUUGGAAACUGGGGAACUUGAGUGCAGAAGAAGAGAGUGGAAUUCCACGUGUAGCGGUGAAAUGCGUAGAGAUGUGGAAGAACACCAGUGGCGAAGCGACUCUCUGGUCUGUAACUGACGCUGAAGAGCGAAAGCGUGGGGGAGCGAACAAGAUUAGAUACCCCUGGUAGUCCACGCC